UGGCGGACGGGUGAGUAACGCGUGGGUAACCUGCCCCAUACCGGGGGAUAACAUUCAGAAAUGAGUGCUAAUACCGCAUAAGACCACAGUGCCGCAUGGCACAGGGGUCAAAACUCCGGUGGUAUGGGAUGGACCCGCGUCUGAUUAGGUAGUUGGCGGGGUAACGGCCCACCAAGCCGACGAUCAGUAGCCGACCUGAGAGGGUGACCGGCCACACUGGGACUGAGACACGGCCCAGACUCCUACGGGAGGCAGCAG
RNAcentral lists this ribosomal RNA (258 nucleotides) under uncultured bacterium. RNAcentral describes it as "partial 16S ribosomal RNA". It matches the Rfam family "Bacterial small subunit ribosomal RNA", at positions 96 to 354 of the family's 1533-position model. The record is from RNAcentral.